RNAcentral lists this ribosomal RNA (384 nucleotides) under uncultured Cryptomonas. RNAcentral describes it as "partial small subunit ribosomal RNA". It matches the Rfam family "Eukaryotic small subunit ribosomal RNA", at positions 30 to 432 of the family's 1831-position model. Lineage: Eukaryota; Cryptophyceae; Cryptomonadales; Cryptomonadaceae. The record is from RNAcentral.
GCUUGUCUCAAAGAUUAAGCCAUGCAUGUCUUAGUGUAAAUAACUCUUAUGAAACUGCGAAUGGCUCAUUAAAUCAGUUAUCAAAUACGUGAUGGUCGCCUACUACAUGGAUAACCGUAGUAAUUCUAGAGCUAAUACAUGCACAAAGGCCCACUCACGUGGGUUGUGAUUAUUAGAUUCAAACCGGCCUCGUUCUGGUGAUUCAUAAUAAUUGGUCGAACCGCAUGCCCUUGUGGUGGCGGUGAUUCAUCCUUAUUUCUGCCCUAUCAAGUAUCGUAUGUAGGAUAGAGGCCUACAUAGCUUAUGACGGGUGACGGAGAAUUAGGGUUCGAUUCCGGAGAGGGAGCCUGAGAAACGGCUACCACAUCCAAGGAAGGCAGCAGG